CCGAGUUAUACAACUCAUCAACCCUGUGAACAUACCUAUAACGUUGCCUCGGCGGGAACAGACGGCCCCGUAACACGGGCCGUCCCCGCCAGAGGACCCCCUAACUCUGUUUCUAUAAUGUUUCUUCUGAGUAAACAAGCAAAUAAAUUA
This 150-nucleotide unclassified non-coding RNA is filed under the name soil metagenome. RNAcentral's name for it is "partial internal transcribed spacer 1". The record is from RNAcentral.